GUUUUCUGUGACUGGCAUCUUUCUGAGCAUCGUGUUCUCAAGACUCCUCCAUGUUCUAGCGUGUACAGAACUCCUUCCGCGAUAAGGCCAAAAAGCUUUUGCUACAGAGGCUCUACCACCGGACACCGUGGAACACAGUGCUCCAGACAGAUCCCCAAGGCUGCCACAUCCUCACCAACAUACAUCAUUUGCUGUUCUCUCUUUUUGUAUGAUGAGCAUCCUGAUAGGUGUGAGGUAAAGUUCAUUGAGGUUCUUGUUUUUCUGGCAUUGGGGGCAGACCUCAAGGCCUCUUGGAUGCCAGUACCAGGCCUCUUUUUACUCUUUAUUUAUUUGUGUGUGUGUACAUCCUCAAUCACUUUUCAUCACACUUUUUGAGACUGAACCUGGAGAAUCACCGGUCAGCUAGACUGACUAGUAGACAAGCCCCAGAGAUCCCCCAUCUCUGCACCCCUGUUGCUGGGAUGAUAAAUGUGUGACCUCUGCCA
Myodes glareolus (Bank vole) is the source of this 485-nucleotide non-coding RNA. Lineage: Eukaryota; Metazoa; Chordata; Mammalia; Rodentia; Cricetidae. The record is from RefSeq and is a predicted model, not a curated record.